AAGUUUCAACAACGGAUCUCUUGGCUCUCGCAUCGAUGAAGAACGCAGCGAAAUGCGAUAAGUAAUGUGAAUUGCAGAAUUCAGUGAAUCAUCGAAUCUUUGAACGCACCUUGCGCUCCUUGGUAUUCCUUGGAGCAUGCCUGUUUGAGCAUCAU
Molecule: ribosomal RNA, 155 nt
Filed under: Thanatephorus cucumeris
Lineage: Eukaryota; Fungi; Basidiomycota; Agaricomycetes; Cantharellales; Ceratobasidiaceae
Description: 5.8S ribosomal RNA
Rfam family: 5.8S ribosomal RNA
About the family: 5.8S ribosomal RNA (5.8S rRNA) is a component of the large subunit of the eukaryotic ribosome. It is transcribed by RNA polymerase I as part of the 45S precursor that also contains 18S and 28S rRNA.
Source: RNAcentral